This 25-nucleotide microRNA is filed under the name Equus caballus (horse). Lineage: Eukaryota; Metazoa; Chordata; Mammalia; Perissodactyla; Equidae. The record is from RNAcentral.
CUACCCGGAAGGUACUGAUCACCUA